GAUUAACGCUAGCGGCAGGCCUAAUACAUGCAAGUCGAACGGCAGCACGAGUAGCAAUACUUGGUGGCGAGUGGCGCACGGGUGCGUAACACGUAUGCAAUCUACCCUUAACUGGGGGAUAGCCCCGAGAAAUCGGGAUUAAUACCCCAUAUCAUUGCGAUGGGGCAUCUCAUUGCAAUUAAAGUUCCGGCGGUUUUGGAUGAGCAUGCGCGACAUUAGUUAGUUGGUGAGGUAACGGCUCACCAAGACUUCGAUGUCUAGGGGUUCUGAGAGGAUUAACCCCCACACUGGUACUGAGACACGGACCAGACUCCUACGGGUGGCAG
RNAcentral lists this ribosomal RNA (326 nucleotides) under uncultured Bacteroidota bacterium. RNAcentral's name for it is "bacterial SSU rRNA". It matches the Rfam family "Bacterial small subunit ribosomal RNA", at positions 28 to 351 of the family's 1533-position model. The record is from RNAcentral. Lineage: Bacteria; Pseudomonadati; Bacteroidota.